GACGAACGCUGGCGGCGUGCUUAACACAUGCAAGUCGAACGGAAAGGCCCUGCUUUUGUGGGGUGCUCGAGUGGCGAACGGGUGAGUAACACGUGAGUAACCUGCCCUUGACUUUGGGAUAACUUCAGGAAACUAGGGCUACUACCGGAUCGGAGCUCCUGCUGCAUGGUGGGGGUUGGAAAGUUUCGGCGGUUGGGGAUGGACUGGCGGCUUACCAGCUUGUUGGUGGGGUAGUGGCUUACCAAGGCUUUGCAGGGUAGCCGGCCUGAGAGGGUGACCGGCCACAUUGGGACUGAGAUACGGCCCAGACUCCUACGGGAGGCAGCAGUGGGGAAUAUUGCACAAUGGGCGGAAGCCUGAUGCAGCAACGCCGCGUGCGGGAUGACGGCCUUCGGGUUGUAAACCGCUUUCGCCUGUGACGAAGCGUGAGUGACGGUAAUGGGUAAAGAAGCACCGGCUAACUACGUG
This 468-nucleotide ribosomal RNA is filed under the name uncultured bacterium. RNAcentral's name for it is "partial 16S ribosomal RNA". It matches the Rfam family "Bacterial small subunit ribosomal RNA", at positions 28 to 507 of the family's 1533-position model. The record is from RNAcentral.